Molecule: ribosomal RNA, 467 nt
Filed under: uncultured bacterium
Lineage: Bacteria
Description: partial 16S ribosomal RNA
Rfam family: Bacterial small subunit ribosomal RNA
Source: RNAcentral
GAUGAACGCUGGCGGCGUGCUUAACACAUGCAAGUCGAACGGAAAGGCCCAAGCUUGCUUGGGUACUCGAGUGGCGAACGGGUGAGUAACACGUGGGUGAUCUGCCCUGCACUUCGGGAUAAGCCUGGGAAACUGGGUCUAAUACCGGAUAGGACCACAUUUUGGAUGGUGUGGUGGAAAGUUUUUCGGUGUGGGAUGAGCUCGCGGCCUAUCAGCUUGUUGGUGGGGUAAUGGCCUACCAAGGCGUCGACGGGUAGCCGGCCUGAGAGGGUGUACGGCCACAUUGGGACUGAGAUACGGCCCAGACUCCUACGGGAGGCAGCAGUGGGGAAUAUUGCACAAUGGGCGCAAGCCCGAUGCAGCGACGCCGCGUGGGGGAUGACGGCCUUCGGGUUGUAAACUCCUUUCGCUAGGGACGAAGCGUUUUUGUGACGGUACCUGGAGAAGAAGCACCGGCUAACUACGUG